RNAcentral lists this unclassified non-coding RNA (151 nucleotides) under uncultured fungus. RNAcentral's name for it is "sequence contains ITS1". Lineage: Eukaryota; Fungi. The record is from RNAcentral.
CUGGACUCGCAAGACUCCUACACCCUGUGAACCUUCUGAAAGACACGUUGCCUCGGCGGCGUCCUCGCCUCCUGCCGGGGGCGGGCGCGCCGCCAGCGGCACAACUACCCUGCAUCGCGCGUUGGCAUCUCGAGGACGACGAAGCAAUCAA